This 262-nucleotide ribosomal RNA is filed under the name uncultured bacterium. Its description in RNAcentral is "partial 16S ribosomal RNA". It matches the Rfam family "Bacterial small subunit ribosomal RNA", at positions 524 to 777 of the family's 1533-position model. The record is from RNAcentral.
UACGGAGGGGGCAAGUGUUAUUCAUGCUUGAUUGGGCGUAAAGGGCACGUAGGCGGCUUCUUAAGUUUAAAAGUUAAAGCUUUCAGGUAAACUGGAGAUUUGUCUUUUAAUACUAUUUGGCUUAGAGUCUAGAAGAAGAAGGCAGUAUUCUUUGUGGAGAGGUGAAAAUUCGCGGAUAUGAAGGAGACUCGCAUUAGGUAAAGGCGGCCUUUCUAGUUUAGAACUGACGCUUAAUGUGCGAAAGCGUGGGGAGCGAACAGGA